This 293-nucleotide ribosomal RNA is filed under the name uncultured bacterium. RNAcentral describes it as "partial 16S ribosomal RNA". It matches the Rfam family "Bacterial small subunit ribosomal RNA", at positions 775 to 1067 of the family's 1533-position model. The record is from RNAcentral.
GGAUUAGAUACCCUGGUAGUCCACGCUGUAAACGAUGUCUACUAACCGUUGGACCCCUAGAGGGUUGAGUGGUGCAGCUAACGCGAUAAGUAGACCGCCUGGGGAGUACGACCGCAAGGUUAAAACUCAAAUGAAUUGACGGGGGCCCGCACAAGCGGUGGAGCAUGUGGUUUAAUUCGAAGCAACGCGAAGAACCUUACCUACCCUUGACAUCCUCGGAAUUAAGCAGAGAUGCUUAAGUGCCUUCGGGAGCCGAGAGACAGGUGCUGCAUGGCUGUCGUCAGCUCGUGCCG